Molecule: ribosomal RNA, 468 nt
Filed under: uncultured bacterium
Lineage: Bacteria
Description: partial 16S ribosomal RNA
Rfam family: Bacterial small subunit ribosomal RNA
Source: RNAcentral
GACGAACGCUGGCGGCGUGCUUAACAUAUGCAAGUCGAACGGAAAGGCCCUGCUUUUGUGGGGUGCUCGAGUGGCGAACGGGUGAGUAACACGUGAGUAACCUGCCCUUGACUUUGGGAUAACUUCAGGAAACUGGGGCUAAUACCGGAUAGGAGCUCCUGCUGCAUGGUGGGGGUUGGAAAGUUUCGGCGGUUGGGGAUGUACUCGCGGCUUAUCAGCUUGUUGGUGGGGUAGUGGCUUACCAAGGCUUUGACGGGUAGCCGGCCUGAGAGGGUGACCGGCCACAUUGGGACUGAGAUACGGCCCAGAAUCCUACGGGAGGCAGCAGUGGGGAAUAUUGCACAAUGGGCGGAAGCCUGAUGCAGCAACGCCGCGUGCGGGAUGACGGCCUUCGGGUUGUAAACCGCUUUCGCCUGUGACGAAGCGUGAGUGACGGUAAUGGGUAAAGAAGCACCGGCUAACUACGUG